This 2044-nucleotide ribosomal RNA is filed under the name marine metagenome. Its description in RNAcentral is "bacterial LSU rRNA". It matches the Rfam family "Bacterial large subunit ribosomal RNA", at positions 847 to 2925 of the family's 2925-position model. The record is from RNAcentral.
AGCUGGUUCUCCUCGAAAUGCGUUGAGGCGCAGCGGUUGAUUAUGGACUUCUAGGGGGUAAAGCGCUGUCUCGGUGCGGGCUGCGAAAGCGGUACCAAUCUGUUGCAAACUCGGAAUACCUAGAACGCUUUCAAUCGGCCAGUGAGACUGCGGGGGAUAAGCUCCGUAGUCAAGAGGGAAACAGCCCAGACCACCAGCUAAGGCUCCUAAAUAAAAGCUAAGUGGCAAAGGAGGUGAAAAUGCAGUGACAAUCAGGAGGUUUGCCUAGAAGCAGCCACCCUUUAAAGAGUGCGUAAUAGCUCACUGAUCAAGCGUUUUCGCGCCGAAAAUGACCGGAACUAAGUUUUUUGCCGAAGCUGUGGCUACAUCACAUAGAUGAUGUAGGGUAGAGGAGCGUUCCGUCCAGGGGGAAGCCAAGCGCGUAAGCCGCGGUCGACAGGACGGAAGUGAGAAUGUCAGAUUGAGUAACGUAAACAUUGGUGAGAAUCCAGUGCCCCGAAAACUCAAGGGUUCCUGCGCAAGGCUCGUCCGCGCAGGGUCAGUCAGGACCUAAGGUGAGGCCGAAAGGCGUAAUUGAUGGCAAGAAGGUUUAUAUUCCUUCACUAGUCUAGGCUUAGUCCUGAGGGACGAACAAAUAACACUCGGCACAACGGCCACACUUGGCAGUAUGGAUAAACCCGUUGCUGUUUGAUGCUAUUUAUUCCAAGAAAAGCUCAUUCGACUUUGAGUCUAGAUUACCUGUACCGUAAACCGACACAGGUGAGUGGGUUGAAUAAACUAAGGGGAGCGAGAUAACUCUCUCUAAGGAACUCGGCAAAUUGGCUCUGUACCUUCGGAAGAAAGAGUGCCCCUCAGGGGGCCGCAGUGAAGAGAUCCAGGCGACUGUUUACCAAAAACACAGGUCUCCGCAAAGUCGUAAGACGACGUAUGGGGGCUGACACCUGCCCAGUGCCAGAAGGUUAAAGAAGUUGGUCAAUCUAUGAUGAAGCUAACGACUGAAGCCCUGGUGAACGGCGGCAGUAACUAUAACUGUCCUAAGGUAGCGAAAUUCCUUGUCGGGUAAGUUCCGACCCGCACGAAAGGUGUAACGAUCUGGAUACUGUCUCAGAGAGAGACUCGGUGAAAUAAAACUAUCUGUGAAGAUGCGGAUUACCUGCACACGGACAGAAAGACCCUAUGAAGCUUUACUGUAACCUGGAAUUGCUCUCAAGCUUAUCUUGCGCAGCUUAGGUGGGAGGCUAUGAACCUUUUCUUCUGGGAAGAGGGGAGCCAUCAGUGAGAUACCACUCUUGGUAAGCUAGAAAGCUCAGUCUUAACCGUUAUCCGGUAAGACGACAGUUUCAGGCGGGCAGUUUGACUGGGGCAGUCACCUCCCAAAAGGUAAUGGAGGUGCACAAAGGUUCCCUCAGGUUGGACGGAAAUCAACCAUAGAGUGUAAAAGCAUAAGGGAGCUUGACUGCGAGACUGACAUGUCAAGCAGAGACGAAAGUCGGUUUUAGUGAUCCGACGGUGCUGUGUGGAAAGGCCGUCGCUCAACGGAUAAAAGUUACUCUAGGGAUAACAGGCUAAUCUCCCCCAAGAGUUCACAUCGACGGGGAGGUUUGGCACCUCGAUGUCGGCUCGUCGCAUCCUGGAGCGGAAGUACGUUCCAAGGGUUGGGCUGUUCGCCCAUAGAAAGCGGCACGCGAGCUGGGUUCAGAACGUCGUGAGACAGUUUGGUCCAUAUCCUGUGUAGGCGUUUAGAGCAUUGAAAGGAUCUCCCCUUUGUACGAGAGGACCAGGUGGGGACAGACCGCUAGUGUACCAGUUAUCCCACCAGGGGUAAACGCUGGGUAGCUAUGUCUGGAGUAAAUAACUGCUGAAAGCAUAUAAGUAGGAAGUUCACCUUAAGAUGAGUGCUCUUUUGUCUCAACCGUUCAGUUUUACUGACAAAUGAAAGACAAGGAAGGUCACGGCAAGACGAGCCGUUUGAUAGGCAUGAAGUAGAAGUGCAGUAAUGCAUUCUGAAGCUGACAUGUGCUAAUAGACCGAGGGAUUUGAUUUU